Molecule: long non-coding RNA, 601 nt
Filed under: Ananas comosus (pineapple)
Lineage: Eukaryota; Viridiplantae; Streptophyta; Magnoliopsida; Poales; Bromeliaceae
Description: long non-coding RNA (ACOM_LNC013283)
Source: RNAcentral
AAUUUGAAAGGUUGAAAAUUAGUAUUUUUGGAGGGUAAAAUGAUAUUAUAACUAAAAUAUUAAUUGUAGUUCAGGAAAUACUAUUGUGAGUGAAAUUUAUAAAUAUGACAAUUUUAAUAUUGUUGUUUGAAAAUUUGAGGAAUUUUCAAAAUUACAAAAGAGUAGUGAAAAAUAAUUUUUGAUACACAAUUACGCAAAAAUUUAUAUAAUUUUAAGCCUCAUUAUCCUUCUUUAUCAAUCAUUAUCUUUUUAUCCCACCUACUCCAACCAAUCAUUAUCCUUCUUUAUCAAUCAUUAUCUUCUUAUCCCACCUACUCCAACCCCACCUACUCCAACCAAUCAUUAUCCUUCUUUAUCAAUCAUUAUCUUCUUAUCCCACCUACUCCAACCAAUCAUUAUCCUUCUUUAUCAAUCAUUAUCUUCUUAUCCCACCUACUCCAACCAAACACUAUUUUUCAUUAUUCUAGACUAACUCCAACCUCCAACCAAACACAAAAAAACUUUAACCCCACUUUAACCCUGAACUUAACCCUAUACCUGGAAUAGCUACUUUUUUCUUAACCCCGAACCAAACGGAGGCUCAGGAAUUAGCCACUCCUUA